This 592-nucleotide ribosomal RNA is filed under the name uncultured bacterium. RNAcentral's name for it is "bacterial SSU rRNA". It matches the Rfam family "Bacterial small subunit ribosomal RNA", at positions 70 to 659 of the family's 1533-position model. The record is from RNAcentral.
AAGGCCCGCUUCGGUGGGUACACGAGUGGCGCACGGGUGCGUAACGCGUAUGCAACCUACCUUCAACAGAGGGAUAGCCCCGAGAAAUUGGGAUUAAUACCUCAUAACAUCAUUAUUUCGCAUGGGAUAAUGAUUAAAGCUCCGGCGGUUGGAGAUGGGCAUGCGUAACAUUAGCUUGUUGGUGAGGUAACGGCUCACCAAGGCGACGAUGUUUAGGGGUUCUGAGAGGAUUAUCCCCCACACUGGUACUGAGACACGGACCAGACUCCUACGGGAGGCAGCAGUGAGGAAUAUUGGGCAAUGGACGCAAGUCUGACCCAGCCAUGCCGCGUGCAGGAAUGACGGCCCUACGGGUUGUAAACUGCUUUUAUACGGGAAGAAACCCUACGACUUGUUGUAGGCUGACGGUACCGUAAGAAUAAGCAUCGGCUAACUCCGUGCCAGCAGCCGCGGUAAUACGGAGGAUGCAAGCGUUAUCCGGAUUUAUUGGGUUUAAAGGGUGCGCAGGCGGGCUUGUAAGUCAGUGGUGAAAUCCCUCGGCUCAACCGAGGAACUGCCAUUGAUACUGCGAGUCUAGAGUACAGAUGGGGUA